UUUGUUGAGCUUAAUUUAUAACAUGUAUGAUGUACGUACCUUGCGGAGUGAUCCAUACUGGGCACUGAGUUUGAGAAGCCAGAGGGCUGGGAAGUCAAGGCUGGUGGCGGUUGUGAUGCUACCAGCUUGAGGGUUGUAGAUGUCAGGUGAUGAAUUCUGACCAAUGUUUUGGCGAAGUCUCAUUGUGCAAAUGGUCUCAUCAAUGCCAUUUCUGCUCCUUUUGCUUUGGCGUUGGCAACCUUUGUCUGUCUCCACGCACUGUGGCUGCUCUUCCUCAUCAUCAUCAUCUUCUUCUUGCUGUGGCUUCCUCAUGGCUGGAGCUGUGACUCUUAGACCUCCUUUCACUGUCACAAUGGCUCCACUAUCCUCCUCUUCGUUCUCACCUUGUAGGUUUCUCACUAUCUGCAUGUUCACGCCGAACGCUUCUUUCAAGAAUUCAGGGGCGAAGCCACUCAAUAUGUUGCUUCCUUCGUUUUCUUCUUCUUGUUGCUUUCCUUUCUGGCUUUGGGAACCUCCUUGCUGCUGCUGCUGAUAUUUUAGAAACUCUUGCUCUUGGUUCCCAGCAAGAUAGAAUCUCUGCCAAGAAUUGUCAAAACAAAUAGUUGUCAAUCCGUAACCAGCUAGUAUUAGAACUUAAGAAUUCUAAUCUUAACGUUACAAUGUAGUCCAGUUUCCUUUUUUUAUCAGCUACAAUAUUGUCCAUGUAUUUCAAGACAAGAACCAAAUUGGAUAAAAAAACACAACUAUAAGGAUCCAAUUGGCAUAUUUUAAUCUAUAGGUACUAAAUUAGAAAGUGCAACUCCACGAACUAAAAUGAUAUUUAAACCUUUAAAGAAUUAUAAUAUCUAAUAUUGCUAUGUGGCUCACCCUAGGCAUCUGGUCGAGCUGGUUCUCCAAGCUGUUGGUGUCAAUAAUAGAAACGGCAACAACAGGAGUGUCUUCAUUGUUGUACAUCCACCAUGCAACACCAGUAGGCACUGCGAUCAAAUCACCCUCUCUGAAGCGAUGUACCUUUUGGUGACGGUCUUGGGGCCUCUGGCUUCGUCCUCGUUGCUGAGAUUCUUGCGGCUCUUGAUAAGUGCUAGGACAACCCGGGAAUAUCAUGCCAAAAAUACCAUUACCUAUUCAUAUAUAUUACACAACAACACAAAGAAAAAAAAAACAUUAGCAUAACCAUUUUCUUUUCAAAAUGCAUGGUUUCACAAAACUGAGAAAUUGAAACAAGUUAUUAUUAAUUUGAAUAUAUAAGAUAGGUUGGACGGUUAAGAAGAAAAACAAAAGCCACAGUUUCAAUCAAUUUUACUAACAAAAACUAACCAUUAACAUCUGAUAAAAAAAAAAUUAAACAAGAUUAUGGACCUUGUUGUAUGUAGAUUUCCUGGGGACCGUUGGUGUAGGAAGGUCUACGAAGGGCAUUGCGGUUAAGGGUGCAGCGAGAGAGGGCAACACCGGCACACUGGAAUGGCUUGUUGUUAGGGUUCCAGGUCUCAAUGAACCCACCUUCCGACUCUAUACGGUUAUCCGGUUUGAGGGCAUUCAGCUUUUGGAUCUGGCACUCAUUUUGCUGUGCCUGCUCUCUCAGAGCGAAGCAGCCACUGAAAAGAAGGAAACAAAGGGAAAGAACAAGCUUGGCCAUGGUGAUGAGUGUUCAAAGACAAUGGAGAGAAUGUUUGUGUUGUGAAGCGGAGAACCUGAGGCGUGGUUAUUUAUAGGGAAGAGAGGAAGGUGGGUGAGGGACACGUCACAGGAGUGGGGUGCUGAGCUUGAGACAUUCUUCAGUAUGCAUGGCUAUGGAAGCCUUGUGUGUUACACCUCAUUAAGUUCAUGGGUGUGAGGUGGCUUCGACAGUUCGACAUCAACAUUAUGUGACAAAUACCAAGUGUGUUUGUAUUGCAUGCAAUUGCCAGAAAACGGUGGUGGAGAGGGGGACCAUGGUUUCAUUUCAUGUUCGCGGGUUUAUGACAUAUGAAAUUAUAUGAAUACACCGUGUGACAAUGAUGGGAUCCUCAAAGUGAGAAGAAGGGCCGUCCAAAAAUGACCUCACUCUAGGGAUAGAGAAAUUAUUAGGUGUUAUGAAAUUAUCACUAUUCAUGGUUUUGACAGAUCUUUAUGUGAUACUAGUUACUCAAUUUUUUUUAAUUUAAUUAGGAAAUAAUUAAUCAUACUUUAAUUUACAUAUCAUAAAGAUUAGUGGAGAAUAAUUUGUACUGUAUAUAUAAUAAUUUCUUGGAUAGAGAAAUUAUAUAUUAGGGACAUUUUGUUUUUUGGAUUAUCCUCGUUUUGAUUGUCAAUAUAAAAAAAAAGUAAGCGAAAAUAAGAAGAAAAUGACUAAGUUUUAAACAAUUAUAUUAGUUAAACAAAAAUACUUAUAUGUUUUAGGUCUAUAAUAAAUAUGAUUAAUUUUAUUUUGAGUUCUAAUUUUAAUUUUUUUUUCUUUGUAUUGGAUUCUUAUAUCUUAAAAAAUUUAUUUUGACUCUUUAUCAUAGGUAGGUUAGUAAUGACAUAUCAAUCAAUUAACAAAUUACAAAGUCAGAGUUUAAAAACUGUGGGUAUUUCUGAUAGAAAAUAAUCUGGAUUGUCUCUAACUCAUUAGCCUCUCGAUUUUGUCAGGUUCGGGCUUAGUGAAUGCAACGGAUUCUUGGGUGUGUUCCAAUCUGCGUUGUGGCUUGGUUUCUUUUGCGGCCUCAAACACUUUCUUCUUCUCCGGAGGAAGUUUUUUAAACCCUCAUCCGAAUAAAGUAACCCCAUGUAAGCAAUUUUUAAACCCGUAUAGUCCGAAUAAACAAUUUGAAACCGCCCGAUUGUGUCUUUUUAUUUAUUCCUUUAGUGUGGGUUUGGUUCGAGCUUCUCUCGGGUUUAUGCUCAGCCCUAGCUACUACCAUUAUUCAUUUAAAAAAUAAGUUACAAUUUGUGACAGUUUGAAAGCUGUCAGAAUCAAUUAAAACAAAAAAAAUUAAAAAAUUAAAUGUAUUUUGAUCCUCCUAUUUUAUCAAAUCCAUAAAUUUGGUUUUUUAGUUUUAAGAUUUUAAAAUUGAGACCGUUAAUUCCUCUCUUUUCUAAAAUCAGGAAAUUAAAUUUUUCUGUCAAAUUAGUUGUGUUGACCAAAUGUUGACUGUUAAAAUUUUCUUUCUUCUUUUUCCUUUUGCUUUCACAUAAACCUCAGUCUUAUUUGUUCAAGGAAUUAUGCACAUUUUGUGCCCACUGUCCAUGGCUGCCAAAAGUUUCUUGGUUAUUCGAGUCAAUUAAUGCAACAAUCUGGAUAGAUUAAUUGUAGUUCUAUGCAAUGAUUAAGAACUAUCAAAGCAUUAAGAACUUGUAGCUCCUCACACACGAGAAAUAAGAAAUGGACAAGAAUGAGAAUGAGGACUCGAGCCUAAAAUUUAAGGCCAUGGACACCAAAUAUACGGGAAUGAUUGCACAUUUUGCAGGAAAUAAGUAGUGAGCCACAAACAUAAUUCCAUUUAUUCAAAGAAUAGUUAAGUUAUCAUCUUUAUAUAUUUUAAACACUUAAAUUAGCACCUUUACAUUAAAAGAACGCACACUAAUAUUAUUAAAAAAAGUAUUCAUCAUUUUGUAGGCCAACUUAAAAUAUAAUAUAUUAUAUAUAUAUAUAUAUAUAUAUAUAUAUAUAUAUAUAUAUAUAUAUAUAUAUAUAUAAUAUUAAAAUACUUAAUGUUUCUCACCUUUUUUAUGUUUGUUAUCAUAUAAAAAAACAUAGAUGAAUUUUAAAAAGUAAAUUAUUUACCAUCAAUUUAUAUAUUUGUUAAGCUACACAUAUUUUUUUAUUAGAGUUCUUUUUUUGUGUGUGUAAAAAUAUAUGUGAUGUCCUGUCAUUCUAUGUUUUACACAUUAGCUAUGCGAGAGUGUCUGUGCUCAUAUUGUGUCUGAUGUCCAUGUCGAAUUUCAAGCUUCAAAAUAUCAACUAACUAACUUGUGAGUCAAAUUACCGAUUGGGGGUAAUUUUUUUUAAAAUUUAUCAUUUGAGGAUAGAUUUUAAAUUAAUAUUCGUUUAAGGUUUAUGAAUUGAAAGUCAUGAAAAUGAAAUUAAUAUUUCUUGAAACCAAUAUCUAUUUAGUGUGGACAAUGGACAUCAAGACAUCAUAUGCAACACCAUCCUUGACUCUGUUGAAAAUUAAAAUCCCAGAAAAACACAUUUUUUAGCUCCCAUGUUAAAUUUGGAGCGAUGUUUUAUGUUUGAAGACACAAAGCACAAUGGUCCAAAUACUCUCGAACUUUCCAAGUUGGGUUGAGCUCCAAGUCAUGAAGAACCUGAUAAGACGUCUUCAUUCUUAAAGUUAAUCUUCAACUAUUGGGUCUGCAAUACUUUCAAUUUUAGUCUUCUACAUCAUGUCCUGUCCUGCCAACACUUCCUAAAGAUAUCAUCGAUCAAGCUAACUAUCAUUGGACCAAUCGUUAUUGUUUGCCUUUUGUUUUGCAAGAAGCUCAGAAGAAAGAAAAAAAAAAGAGAGAGAGAGAGAGACAAAAGAAGAUUUGACAGAAAACUCAUUGGAAUUUCUCCUUUUAUUCCCGCAAAAGUUUCGUGACUCAUUAUAGAGAGUACUUACAUUAUUAUUUUACAGUGAACAAAAGGCAAGCUAAAGCCUUUGUUUUCUUAUUCAUUAUUAUUAUUAUUAUUUAUUGGUUGCUAGCACUAUUGCCAAAAAGACAAAAGUGGGGUAGCACAUACAAAAAGGGCUCUAAGCCACAGCUCUCUUCUGAGACUCCUGAGGUGGAACCAGGAACUUGAAAGGGUUGUUGUUCUUUAUCUGCCUGGCCUGCUGGCUUUUUAGGUUGAAAGUGUGCUGAAUCACUUCCUCUGGUAAUGCGUUCAACAAUGAGUUUGCCCCUGCAAGAGUGCCGAUCAUGGGUGUAUCAUUGGUCUUGAAUGACACAUACUCGAAGUUGUCACUCUGUGAUCUUGCAGCCACCACAAAGUUUUGUGGCACGAUCAGCACCCGUCCCUCUUGCAGCUCUCCAUCAAACACUCUCUCACCGUUGCAAUUCACCACUUGUAUCAAUGCCCGUCCAUUCAAUGCGUAUAUUAUGCUGUUCGCGUUCAGGUUGUAGUGUGGCACGAACAUUGCAUUCUGCAUCGUACAUCAAUGCAUGCAAGAGUCACAACAAAUUCAUCCAAUAUUUUUAUAAUAAUACUAUUUUUUGUUUUGCUUUUUUCAUCAAUCUUUUCUUUUUUUUUCUCUCUAUUUCUAUAUAUAAAGACAGAAAAGAUAGAAUCCAUGCAAGUGUUAAGAUAACUCCGUCACACAUUUUAUAGUGUAUCUAAGAUUAUUAUUAAUCAAUAAAUCAUUAGUCUAAGUAUAAAUAAUGUAAUUAAGAUGAAAGACUCCAUUAAAAGUGAUCAAACAAAUUUUCUAAAAAAAUUAAUUAUCAAUAAAAUUAAUAAAUAUUUGGCAACAAAUAUUAGUUUAAUGUAUAAAUGUAUGUUGAUCUUUGAUGAAUGAUGUACGUACCUUGCGGAGAGAUCCAAACUCAGCACUGAGUCUGAGCCACGAGAGGGCUGGGAAGUCAAGGCUGGUGGCGGUUGUGACGCUACCGGCUUGAGGGUUGUAGAUGUCAGGUGAUGAAGUCUGGCCAAUGUUGUGGCGAAGUCUCAUGGUGCAUAUGGUCUCGUCAAUGCCAUUUCUUCUGCUUUUGCUUUGGCUUCCUCGGGGGCGUUGGCAGUGUUUGUCUUUACCCUUGCACUGUGGCUUCUCAUCCUCUUCUUCUUCUUCCUCUUCCUGGGGUCUUUGUUGCUGCUCGUCCGUGGGUGGUUUUAUCACGCUCAGACCUCCUUUCACUGUCACAAUGGCUCCCUUGUCUUCCCCUUCGUUCUCUCCUUGUAGGUUUUUCGCUAUCUGCUUGUCCACGCUGAAUGCAUGUUCCAAGAAUUCCAGGGUGAAGCCACUCAAUAUGCUGCCUCCUUCGUUUUCUUCUUCUUGCUGAUGCUUUCCUUUCUGGCUUUGAUGACCUCCUUGCUCUUGCUGAUAUUUUAGAAACUCUUGCUCUUG
Molecule: long non-coding RNA, 6005 nt
Filed under: Glycine max (soybean)
Lineage: Eukaryota; Viridiplantae; Streptophyta; Magnoliopsida; Fabales; Fabaceae
Description: long non-coding RNA (GMAX_LNC000657)
Source: RNAcentral